Pelobates cultripes (western spadefoot toad) is the source of this 1181-nucleotide non-coding RNA. NCBI's taxonomy places the organism in Eukaryota, Metazoa, Chordata, Amphibia, Anura, Pelobatidae. The record is from the annotation of a GenBank genome assembly.
GUCUAGAGUAGGUCUGGUGGUGAUGGGACCCUAUGUGAGGAUUGAGUAGGUGUUCGAGUCGUGUAGUAGCAAGGUUGCGUCAGUUCCAUGUUUCAUGGUCAGACUCGCUGUGUUGUGCUGAGUAUAGGUGUCUGCAUGCGUUAGUGGAGGUGAGCUGUUUGUCGUGGGUAGCGUGUUUUGGGUUGAUUACCCCUAACCAAGGGGAUUGCGGGGGGGGGGGUGAUUUGUCAGGCGCCCUGUGGUUGGAUGUGUGAUAUGUUGGCUCUCAUUGGCGUAGAGAGGGUGAGUGCAGCAAUGGCCUGUGGUGUUUGGAAAUUGUUAGCGGAGGCUAAAUAGUAAAUAAUAUAAAACGUAAAUAAAGUCACGGAGUGAAAUCAAAAUAUGUGUGCACCAGUCCCGGUGGCAAAGCCUGCGGUGUCAGUCCACUUCAGUCAUGGUACAGGGUGUUGUGAUCCGCUGGGUCUCGGUUCCGACUGGGCGUUGUUCCUGGGGUCCUGUACUUCCAUUUGCGGGCUUUUUCGUGGUGGAAGCAUCGGGUUGGGUAGUUUCAAAGCGGUUAGGAGAAUAGGUGCUUCUUCCACGGAGGUUAGGACAUGGGUAGUGCCUUCUUGGGUUACUUCCAGAGUCCCGUUAGUGCCCCACUUGUAUGCAAUUCCCGCUGCUCGGAGUUGUGUGGUGAGUGGUCCAUACGAUUUGCGCCACACGAGGGUGGCUUUUGAUAUGUCCUGGAAGAACGUCAGGGAAGAGUUCUCAAACAGCAGCGGUGUCUUGCCUUUCAGCCCGGCCAUUAUAUGUAGUUUGUCUUGUACUGUGACACAUCUGAGGAUGACGUCUCUGGCCGUUGGGGUCUUUAGGUGGGGAGGGGUAGGCAAGCGGUAUACCCCAUCUAUGAUCAUUUUCUUUACUGCUGUGUGUGGGAGUACUGUAGCUAGUAGACGUCUGGUGUAAUGCGGCAGCUCUUCGGCCGAUAUCUCUGCAGGGAUGCCCCUGAUUUUUAUGUGUGAGCGGCGUUGUCGAUCUUCCAUGGUUGACAUUUUGAGUGACAGGUACGUUUGUUGUUGCUGGAUUUGUUUGAUGGAGUCUUCCAUCGUGUUUAUGUGAGCAUGUACCGUCACUACUUCUGCCUCCGUGGUGUUCACCUUUUCUGUGACCGUGCGCAGUUUGGUCCUCAAAAGGGCUGA